RNAcentral lists this ribosomal RNA (499 nucleotides) under uncultured bacterium. Its description in RNAcentral is "partial 16S ribosomal RNA". It matches the Rfam family "Bacterial small subunit ribosomal RNA", at positions 30 to 523 of the family's 1533-position model. The record is from RNAcentral.
AUUGAACGCUGGCGGAAUGCUUUACACAUGCAAGUCGAACGGCAGCACGGACUUCGGUCUGGUGGCGAGUGGCGAACGGGUGAGUAAUGUAUCGGAACGUGCCCAGUCGUGGGGAUAACGUAGUGAGAAUUACGCUAAUACCGCAUACGAUCUAUGGAUGAAAGCGGGGGAUCGCAAGACCUCGCGCGAUUGGAGCGGCCGAUAUCAGAUUAGGUAGUUGGUGGGGUAAAGGCCCACCAAGCCAACGAUCUGUAGCUGGUCUGAGAGGACGACCAGCCACACUGGAACUGAGACACGGUCCAGACUCCUACGGGAGGCAGCAGUGGGGAAUUUUGGACAAUGGGCGAAAGCCUGAUCCAGCCAUUCCGCGCGCAGGAUGAAGGCCCUCGGGUUGUAAACUGCUUUUGUACAGAACGAAAAGGUUUCUACUAAUACUAGGAGCUCAUGACGGUACUGUAAGAAUAAGCACCGGCUAACUACGUGCCAGCCGCCGCCGUAA